ACAUCAGGCUGAUGUAAGGAGAGAGUCAGAACUGACGCAGUCCAGGCCAGAAAAUCCCUCUGCAUGGGGUAGAAUGCACCGACCAAGGCUGUGGGCUGUGACCUCCAGUGUGACUCAGCUUGACCUCAUCUUUGCUGCCCAUGGGGGAUUCCUGCUCCUUAAAUGACAGGCGGCGAGUGGAUUGAAAUGGAGCAAGAAUCAGAGCAAAUGAUUCAGAUGAUGGCAAGGCUUGGCGCUCAUCACCAAACAUCAAUCAUGAAAAAUCUCCCUUUGUUAAUAUGCAAAACUCUGG
Fundulus heteroclitus (mummichog) is the source of this 292-nucleotide long non-coding RNA. RefSeq lists it as uncharacterized. Lineage: Eukaryota; Metazoa; Chordata; Actinopteri; Cyprinodontiformes; Fundulidae. The transcript is spliced from 3 exons. The record is from RefSeq and is a predicted model, not a curated record.